RNAcentral lists this ribosomal RNA (1202 nucleotides) under Staphylococcus aureus. Its description in RNAcentral is "bacterial SSU rRNA". It matches the Rfam family "Bacterial small subunit ribosomal RNA", at positions 53 to 1236 of the family's 1533-position model. The record is from RNAcentral. Lineage: Bacteria; Bacillati; Bacillota; Bacilli; Caryophanales; Staphylococcaceae.
ACAUGCAAGUCGAGCGAACGGACGAGAAGCUUGCUUCUCUGAUGUUAGCGGCGGACGGGUGAGUAACACGUGGAUAACCUACCUAUAAGACUGGGAUAACUUCGGGAAACCGGAGCUAAUACCGGAUAAUAUUUUGAACCGCAUGGUUCAAAAGUGAAAGACGGUCUUGCUGUCACUUAUAGAUGGAUCCGCGCUGCAUUAGCUAGUUGGUAAGGUAACGGCUUACCAAGGCAACGAUGCAUAGCCGACCUGAGAGGGUGAUCGGCCACACUGGAACUGAGACACGGUCCAGACUCCUACGGGAGGCAGCAGUAGGGAAUCUUCCGCAAUGGGCGAAAGCCUGACGGAGCAACGCCGCGUGAGUGAUGAAGGUCUUCGGAUCGUAAAACUCUGUUAUUAGGGAAGAACAUAUGUGUAAGUAACUGUGCACAUCUUGACGGUACCUAAUCAGAAAGCCACGGCUAACUACGUGCCAGCAGCCGCGGUAAUACGUAGGUGGCAAGCGUUAUCCGGAAUUAUUGGGCGUAAAGCGCGCGUAGGCGGUUUUUUAAGUCUGAUGUGAAAGCCCACGGCUCAACCGUGGAGGGUCAUUGGAAACUGGAAAACUUGAGUGCAGAAGAGGAAAGUGGAAUUCCAUGUGUAGCGGUGAAAUGCGCAGAGAUAUGGAGGAACACCAGUGGCGAAGGCGACUUUCUGGUCUGUAACUGACGCUGAUGUGCGAAAGCGUGGGGAUCAAACAGGAUUAGAUACCCUGGUAGUCCACGCCGUAAACGAUGAGUGCUAAGUGUUAGGGGGUUUCCGCCCCUUAGUGCUGCAGCUAACGCAUUAAGCACUCCGCCUGGGGAGUACGACCGCAAGGUUGAAACUCAAAGGAAUUGACGGGGACCCGCACAAGCGGUGGAGCAUGUGGUUUAAUUCGAAGCAACGCGAAGAACCUUACCAAAUCUUGACAUCCUUUGACAACUCUAGAGAUAGAGCUUUCCCCUUCGGGGGACAAAGUGACAGGUGGUGCAUGGUUGUCGUCAGCUCGUGUCGUGAGAUGUUGGGUUAAGUCCCGCAACGAGCGCAACCCUUAAGCUUAGUUGCCAUCAUUAAGUUGGGCACUCUAAGUUGACUGCCGGUGACAAACCGGAGGAAGGUGGGGAUGACGUCAAAUCAUCAUGCCCCUUAUGAUUUGGGCUACACACGUGCUACAAUGGACA